This 109-nucleotide ribosomal RNA is filed under the name Bacteroidales bacterium. The record is from RNAcentral. Lineage: Bacteria; Pseudomonadati; Bacteroidota; Bacteroidia; Bacteroidales.
UACGGUGGUUAUAGCAAUGGGGCUCCACCUCUUCCCAUACCGAACAGAGAAGUUAAGCCCAUUAGCGCUGAUGGUACUGCGAAAGCGGGAGAGUAAGUCGCCGCCGUUU